CCUACGGGUGGCAGCAGUGAGGAAUAUUGGUCAAUGGGCGGGAGCCUGAACCAGCCAAGUCGCGUGAGGGAUGACGGUCCUACGGAUUGUAAACCUCUUUUGCCGGGGAGCAAGCGUGCGUUCGUGAACGCGCGUCGAGAGUACCCGGAGAAAAAGCAUCGGCUAACUCCGUGCCAGCAGCCGCGGUAAUACGGAGGAUGCGAGCGUUAUCCGGAUUUAUUGGGUUUAAAGGGUGCGUAGGCGGAAUGCCAAGUCAGCGGUAAAAUCGCGGGGCUCAACCUCGCUCCGCCGUUGAAACUGGCGUUCUUGAGUGGGCGAGAAGUAUGCGGAAUGCGUGGUGUAGCGGUGAAAUGCAUAGAUAUCACGCAGAACUCCGAUUGCGAAGGCAGCAUACCGGCGCCCAACUGACGCUGAAGCACGAAAGCGUGGGUAUCGAACAGGAUUAGAUACCCGAGUAGUC
This 460-nucleotide ribosomal RNA is filed under the name uncultured bacterium. Its description in RNAcentral is "partial 16S ribosomal RNA". It matches the Rfam family "Bacterial small subunit ribosomal RNA", at positions 338 to 795 of the family's 1533-position model. The record is from RNAcentral.